UACGUAGGGCGCGAGCGUUGUCCGGAAUUAUUGGGCGUAAAGAGCUCGUAGGCGGCCUGUUGCGUCCGCUGUGAAAUCCCGGGGCUCAACCCCGGGCGUGCAGUGGAUACGGGCUGGCUGGAGGCAGGCAGGGGAGAACGGAAUUCCUGGUGUAGCGGUGAAAUGCGCAGAUAUCAGGAGGAACACCGGUGGCGAAGGCGGUGCUCUGGGCCUGUACUGACGCUGAGGAGCGAAAGCGUGGGGAGCGAACAGG
Molecule: ribosomal RNA, 253 nt
Filed under: uncultured bacterium
Lineage: Bacteria
Description: partial 16S ribosomal RNA
Rfam family: Bacterial small subunit ribosomal RNA
Source: RNAcentral